RNAcentral lists this long non-coding RNA (212 nucleotides) under Elaeis guineensis (African oil palm). RNAcentral describes it as "long non-coding RNA (EGUI_LNC023386)". The record is from RNAcentral. Lineage: Eukaryota; Viridiplantae; Streptophyta; Magnoliopsida; Arecales; Arecaceae.
CUAUCUUUUUUUCAUAAAUAUUUGAAUGGAAAGAAUCCUUCUUGCCAUUCCCAUUUUCUUUAUUAAUACUUGCAUAUUUCUUACUUAACAAGUAGAGGCUAGCCCUGACUUAAAGAACUAAGGUUGUCCCAACCAGUAAGAUAUACAACACAAUUCGGACCUUAGGGAUUUAGAUGGAUCCAUUCUAAUUUAAAGGACCGAGCUUUAUCAUG